CCUACGGGUGGCAGCAGUAGGGAAUUUUCGGCAAUGGGGGGAACCCUGACCGAGCAACGCCGCGUGAACGAAGAAGUUAUUCGUAAUGUAAAGUCCCUUUAACAGGGGAGCAAGAGACAUUUGACGGUACCUGAAGAAUAAGCCCCGGCUAAAUACGUCCCAACAGCCGCGGUAAUACGCAGGGAGCGAGCGUUAUCCGGAAUUAUUGGGCGUAAAGGGUGCGUAGAUGGCAGAGUAAGUCAUUGGUAAAAAUGCUGGGCUCAACCCAGUAGAGCAAAAGAUACUGGAAAGCUAGAGUAGGACAGAGGCAAGUGGAACGAGAUGUGUAGCGGUAAAAUGCAUAAAUAUA
RNAcentral lists this ribosomal RNA (349 nucleotides) under uncultured bacterium. Its description in RNAcentral is "partial 16S ribosomal RNA". It matches the Rfam family "Bacterial small subunit ribosomal RNA", at positions 338 to 698 of the family's 1533-position model. The record is from RNAcentral.